RNAcentral lists this ribosomal RNA (909 nucleotides) under uncultured bacterium. RNAcentral describes it as "bacterial SSU rRNA". It matches the Rfam family "Bacterial small subunit ribosomal RNA", at positions 33 to 931 of the family's 1533-position model. The record is from RNAcentral.
ACGCUGGCGGCAUGCUUUACACAUGCAAGUCGGACGGCAGCACAGAGGAGCUUGCUUCUUGGGUGGCGGGUGGCGAACGGGUGAGUAACAUAUCGGAACGUACCGAGUAGUGGGGGAUAACUGAUCGAAAGAUCAGCUAAUACCGCAUACGUCUUGAGAGGGGAAGCAGGGGACCUUCGGGCCUUGCGCUAUUCGAGCGGCCGAUAUCUGAUUAGCUAGUUGGUGGGGUAAAGGCCUACCAAGGCGACGAUCAGUAGCGGGUCUGAGAGGAUGAUCCGCCACACUGGGACUGAGACACGGCCCAGACUCCUACGGGAGGCAGCAGUGGGGAAUUUUGGACAAUGGGCGCAAGCCUGAUCCAGCCAUGCCGCGUGUCUGAAGAAGGCCUUCGGGUUGUAAAGGACUUUUGUCAGGGAAGAAAAGGCUGUUGCUAAUAUCAGCGGCUGAUGACGGUACCUGAAGAAUAAGCACCGGCUAACUACGUGCCAGCAGCCGCGGUAAUACGUAGGGUGCGAGCGUUAAUCGGAAUUACUGGGCGUAAAGCGAGCGCAGACGGUUACUUAAGCAGGAUGUGAAAUCCCCGGGCUCAACCUGGGAACUGCGUUCUGAACUGGGUGACUAGAGUGUGUCAGAGGGAGGUAGAAUUCCACGUGUAGCAGUGAAAUGCGUAGAGAUGUGGAGGAAUACCGAUGGCGAAGGCAGCCUCCUGGGAUAACACUGACGUUCAUGCUCGAAAGCGUGGGUAGCAAACAGGAUUAGAUACCCUGGUAGUCCACGCCCUAAACGAUGUCAAUUAGCUGUUGGGCAACUUGAUUGCUUAGUAGCGUAGCUAACGCGUGAAAUUGACCGCCUGGGGAGUACGGUCGCAAGAUUAAAACUCAAAGGAAUUGACGGGGACCCGCACAAGCG